Molecule: ribosomal RNA, 1438 nt
Filed under: uncultured organism
Description: 16S ribosomal RNA
Rfam family: Bacterial small subunit ribosomal RNA
Source: RNAcentral
GAACGCUAGCUACAGGCUUAACACAUGCAAGUCGAGGGGCAGCAUGGUCUUAGCUUGCUAAGGCCGAUGGCGACCGGCGCACGGGUGAGUAACACGUAUCCAACCUGCCGUCUACUCUUGGACAGCCUUCUGAAAGGAAGAUUAAUACGAGAUGGCAUCAUGAGUCCGCAUGUUCACAUGAUUAAAGGUAUUCCGGUAGACGAUGGGGAUGCGUUCCAUUAGAUAGUAGGCGGGGUAACGGCCCACCUAGUCUUCGAUGGAUAGGGGUUCUGAGAGGAAGGUCCCCCACAUUGGAACUGAGACACGGUCCAAACUCCUACGGGAGGCAGCAGUGAGGAAUAUUGGUCAAUGGGCGAGAGCCUGAACCAGCCAAGUAGCGUGAAGGAUGACUGCCCUAUGGGUUGUAAACUUCUUUUAUAAAGGAAUAAAGUCGGGUAUGCAUACCCGUUUGCAUGUACUUUAUGAAUAAGGAUCGGCUAACUCCGUGCCAGCAGCCGCGGUAAUACGGAGGAUCCGAGCGUUAUCCGGAUUUAUUGGGUUUAAAGGGAGCGUAGAUGGAUGUUUAAGUCAGUUGUGAAAGUUUGCGGCUCAACCGUAAAAUUGCAGUUGAUACUGGAUAUCUUGAGUGCAGUUGAGGCAGGCGGAAUUCGUGGUGUAGCGGUGAAAUGCUUAGAUAUCACGAAGAACUCCGAUUGCGAAGGGCAGCCUGCUAAGCUGCAACUGACAUUGAGGCUCGAAAGUGUGGGUAUCAAACAGGAUUAGAUACCCUGGUAGUCCACACGGUAAACGAUGAAUACUCGCUGUUUGCGAUAUACAGCAAGCGGCCAAGCGAAAGCGUUAAGUAUUCCACCUGGGGAGUACGCCGGCAACGGUGAAACUCAAAGGAAUUGACGGGGGCCCGCACAAGCGGAGGAACAUGUGGUUUAAUUCGAUGAUACGCGAGGAACCUUACCCGGGCUUAAAUUGCAGAUGAAUUACGGUGAAAGCCGUAAGCCGCAAGGCAUCUGUGAAGGUGCUGCAUGGUUGUCGUCAGCUCGUGCCGUGAGGUGUCGGCUUAAGUGCCAUAACGAGCGCAACCCUUGUUGUCAGUUACUAACAGGUUCCGCUGAGGACUCUGACAAGACUGCCAUCGUAAGAUGUGAGGAAGGUGGGGAUGACGUCAAAUCAGCACGGCCCUUACGUCCGGGGCUACACACGUGUUACAAUGGGGGGGUACAGAGGGCCGCUACCACGCGAGUGGAUGCCAAUCCCAAAAACCUCUCUCAGUUCGGACUGGAGUCUGCAACCCGACUCCACGAAGCUGGAUUCGCUAGUAAUCGCGCAUCAGCCACGGCGCGGUGAAUACGUUCCCGGGCCUUGUACACACCGCCCGUCAAGCCAUGGGAGCCGGGGGUACCUGAAGUGCGUAACCGCGAGGAGCGCCCUAGGGUAAAACUGA